This 995-nucleotide ribosomal RNA is filed under the name marine metagenome. RNAcentral describes it as "bacterial SSU rRNA". It matches the Rfam family "Bacterial small subunit ribosomal RNA", at positions 526 to 1520 of the family's 1533-position model. The record is from RNAcentral.
CGGGAGUGGCAAGCGUUAUCCGGAAUUAUUGGGCGUAAAGCGUCCGCAGGCGGCUUUUCAAGUCUGCUGUUAAAGCGUGGAGCUUAACUCCAUCAUGGCAGUGGAAACUGAAAGGCUUGAGUAUGGUAGGGGCAGAGGGAAUUCCCGGUGUAGCGGUGAAAUGCGUAGAUAUCGGGAAGAACACCAGUGGCGAAGGCGCUCUGCUGGGCCAUUACUGACGCUCAUGGACGAAAGCCAGGGGAGCGAAAGGGAUUAGAUACCCCUGUAGUCCUGGCCGUAAACGAUGAACACUAGGUGUCGGGGGAAUCGACCCCUUCGGUGUCGUAGCUAACGCGUUAAGUGUUCCGCCUGGGGAGUACGCACGCAAGUGUGAAACUCAAAGGAAUUGACGGGGGCCCGCACAAGCGGUGGAGUAUGUGGUUUAAUUCGAUGCAACGCGAAGAACCUUACCAGGGUUUGACAUCCUGCGAACCUCUUAGAAAUUUGAGGGUGCCUUCGGGAAUGCAGUGACAGGUGGUGCAUGGCUGUCGUCAGCUCGUGUCGUGAGAUGUUGGGUUAAGUCCCGCAACGAGCGCAACCCACGUUUUUAGUUGCCAGCAUUUAGUUGGGCACUCUAGAAAGACCGCCGGUGAUAAACCGGAGGAAGGUGUGGAUGACGUCAAGUCAUCAUGCCCCUUACACCCUGGGCUACACACGUACUACAAUGCUACGGACAAAGGGCAGCAAACUCGCGAGAGCUAGCAAAUCCCAUAAACCGUGGCUCAGUUCAGAUCGUAGGCUGCAACUCGCCUACGUGAAGUAGGAAUCGCUAGUAAUCGCAGGUCAGCAUACUGCGGUGAAUACGUUCCCGGGCCUUGUACACACCGCCCGUCACACCAUGGAAGUUGGCCAUGCCCGAAGUCGUUACUCCAACCCUUGUGGAGGAGGACGCCGAAGGUGGGGCUAAUGACUGGGGUGAAGUCGUAACAAGGUAGCCGUACCGGAAGGUGCGGCUG